UGCAUUCACUACUGUAAGUCACUCUGGAUAAGAACGUCUGCUAAAUGACUAAAA
Salmo salar (Atlantic salmon) is the source of this 54-nucleotide non-coding RNA. The record is from Rfam. NCBI's taxonomy places the organism in Eukaryota, Metazoa, Chordata, Actinopteri, Salmoniformes, Salmonidae.